CUGCGGAUCAUCAUCGUAGCCCUACUGGGUAGAAGAUUAGGUGAUUUUGGUUUCCACUGCACAGCAGAGCGUGAAAUCAGAUGGAAUUUAACUUUGACAGAUAUUUACUCUCUCUUUAGUAAUAAAGAAUUAGUUUUGUAGGGUUUUUAUUUGACCCUUCUUAUAUUCCCUGAAUUCUACGUUUCCUCUGGGGUCAGUUUUUCUCUGUUUAGCUUUCUUCUUCAUACUGUAGGCUUUUCUCAAAUAUUUGGGCAUUCUCAGUUGUCUGGCUAUUCUUAAGAAUGAGACAGGAGAAAGACUGACUAGACACUCUAAGCACAGGAGUGGAACUUGCUGACCGGCAGGCUUCAAUUUAGGGUAAACAGCCAGAGAUCUGUUUGUUGUGCUGUGGCCCCUCAAAUGCCAGAAUGUAGAUGGCUUCGUGCUGGGGUACCAGUGAUGACUCUAGAUGCCCAAGUGUUCUCAGAAAGAUCCUUCAGUGUCUUUUAAAAAGUCCCUGUUGGUCAUUUUUUGGUUGGCUGCUUGGUUUUGCUCUUUUCUGUGGUCAAACUACCUAGUUGCCAGGGUUCUUGGCACCAGAGUUGAGGAGGUGUGUGGAGGACGACCAUUUCAUACACAGACCUUCACUGUCUUCUGUCUCCCCUUCAUCCAGGAACUUCUCUGAGUCCCCGACCUCUGCAAGGUUCUACCACAUAGGGAGGCACCCUCAUCUCCUGCGAGACUCUUCAAGCAUAUCCUGAGCUAUAGCUUCUUCUACUCAGUGCUCUUCCAUAUACUCUGUCUUCCAGAAAUUCAUUGAAAUCACUUAUCCUCUUGUUCUCUAAACCCUUUUGGUAUGUACCUUUUAUAUCCCAUUACUAUAAGUAUAAGUGAGUCUUAGAAGGGAUAGGAAAUAAAUAUGUAUGCUCAAAUCCCCAACAUGAACCAGUAGCAAGGGUAGGUAUUCUUCCCAUUUUACACAUGGAAAACAGAGGCUUAUGUGAUUAAGUGACUUGCCUAAGAUCACGUAGCUAGAAAGGGAAGGGCCAGGAUUAAACUUGUAUUCUUUUGACUCUGCUAAACUACUUCUUUUUGUCCAAACCAUGGCUCAGCUGGUAUGACCUGGAAAAAAAAGAAUUUACAUAAUACUAUGAGUUUUAAAUAUGCUGUCACUUGUGCAUAAAAAUGAUCAGAAACUGCCCAGACUAAAAACUGUGCAACAUCAUUUUACAAGUUGCAUACCUAGAUACAAUGAGAAAUCAUCAAAGUCAUAAAACAGCAAUUUUAUAUUGGGUGGGUCAGGUUGGAGUGGACCAGAACUGAGGAGAGAAAAUUGGUAGGAAAGGCUGGAUUAUCAUUUGGGUAACGGUGGCAAGGGCUUGGCACACUGAAUGCUCUCAGCUCUAUCAAAUCUACUUUAGAAGUCACAAUUGGGGAGCAAUUGCCCCAAAGAGGUGGUGCAGACUCCAGAGCAGUGGCAUGGAUGGAAGAGACUUGUUGGGAAGACAGGGCACCCCAUCCACUUGGAAGCCACUCUCUCAUAUACAUUUAAUAAUUGUUAAGUGACUGCCAUGUACAGACACUGCAAUAGACUCUAGAGACACUUUCACCUUCAGCCAGGGUGAUAUCUGCAAAAGAUGAAGAUCUCUUUGUUUCUGGAGACUUCUAGAAAUCAAAACCCUACAAUAUCUCAUAGGAACACAUCACAUUCAUAAUGGUUUAAGAUUUAAAGUAUUAGAAUUGUUCUAGUUCAACUGCAAAGGUAGUUUUGAGGGCUUUUGAAUAGCUAGUCAUUUAUUCCACAAAUCUUUAUUGAGCUUCUAGUUAAUGGCAGCCACUGGAGCUAGGACCUAGGGACACAAUGGUGAAGAAUACGAGAUUAUUUCUAAUGUUUACCACUUAGCCACCAAAGACAAUGCUGAGGCACCUAGUUUUCUCUUUCUCAGAGGCAGAGGCCAAGUUAUCUUCUAAGUAUGAAAUGUAGAGAUUGACUCUUGUUAGGGCCACAGAAAACUGGGGAGGUGGAUGGUGAACAUGCUAUUAGCUGGUAUUAGUUCACUGUGAUAUUAAUUUAGAUGCAUGAUAUCCUGGCGAAGAACAGAUCUUAACAGAAGAUCUUUCUGCUCACAGUGUUUUUCUCGAAUUUUCACCUUUCCUGUGGCUGUUUUGGUCUCAUUCUGACACUGUAGGAAAAUUCACGUGAAAUCUGGAACAAGUGAGCAUGUACCCUCUGUCCUCAAAGGUUGGGACACAAGCCUGUGAACUUGGAAAGAGAACAAAGCUUUCUAGUAUGAUAAACAAAGAAAAUGGAGAUUAAAAAGUCUGGUUUCCUCUUUUUUGCAUCAGCACAUACCAGCUGUCAGAUACCUCUGAAUAAUCUAUUUCUUCUGUUCCUGAAAGGUAGAUAUUAUUAUUACAGCAUUUCCAGAAGGAAGUAUAUUUUAAUUUUCAAUAAAAAUGGCCACAAAUGAAGUGGUAAUGCAAAGAACAGAAGAGAAACUUUUACAGCUAUAGUAUUUGCAUUUGUGACUUUUUCCGUCUAAUUCCACUUUCUCCACUGAUCCCUGAAACCUCGCCAGCAGGCUGACACCCUGAUAAACUCCAAAAGGAAGAAGGAAAACAGUCUGAAAGGCAGGGAGGGUGUGGUCGCUAGAGGGGUAUGGUGAACAAGAAGAAAAGUGCAGCUACUCCAGUGCAUGCAGAUAAGGCGUGAGGUUCAAGGGCUGAAAGGAAGCACACAGAUUGCAGCGUGCCCACUUGGUACUGGUGACAGACUUCCAACGGAGGAGCCCCACCUUCGGGUUCUUUUGUUUAGGCCUGACUUCCAAACAAAGCAAGCUGGACGACCAGUCCUAACAUCAAGCAGCAGAAAGCUUCCUUCCUUUGGAAAAUCUAGUAAAGGCAUCUCUCUAAGCCCUCUUAUUGCAAAAACGGCCUGCUUUCUCCUGAAGUUUCUGCUGUUAGAGAAGACUUGCGAAGGCUGUGAUAGCAGAGUGCAAAGAGGUAGGCAUUUAGGAUAAAAACAUGAGUGCACGUCCAUCCAACCCCUCAGGGCUAAUUCCCCUCCCUGAGCCUCAAAUUCUUCACUGUAUAAUGUGGUCGGGAGGUUGAAUCAGAAAACAAAAGUGGUUCUAAAUUUCUAAAAGACUUCUUUUCUCUAUUUCCCUCUUUACCUCUUUCUUCCAAUUAAAAAAGCUUAAGCUGUAAAAUCAUAAUCCAGUCUACCUACUUUCCACAUUUUUUUCUGAGUGUGCUGUGGAGUCGACUCUGACUCCUAGUGAGCCUACCCAGUCUUUAUUGGCUCCAUCCUUUCACCUUCCAGCUCUGUAUUUGACAAUGCUCCACUGCCCUUCACAGGGCUUUCACAAUCAACUUUUUUCAGAAGCGGCUGGCCAGGUCCUUCUUCCUAGUCUGUCUUAGUCUGGAAGCUCUGCUGAAACCUGUCCACCAUGGGUGACCCUGCUGGUGUUUGAAAACCGGCGGCAUAGCUUUCAGCAUCCCAGCAACAUGCAGCUGCCACAGUAAGAUAACUGACAGACAAGUGGCGUGGUUCCCUGACCUGGAAACGAACCCCAGACUGCAGGGUGAGAGCGCUGAAUCUUAACCACUAGAUCACCGGGCUGGCUGCUUCCCAUAUACCCGAGAUUAAUUUAAGCACAUUCUGAGUAACAUGAUAAAGUUAUCUUUAGAAACAUACACACACCAGUUUCAGAAUGGCACCCCCUGGGGUCCCUGCUGCCAAUUUGGUCCAGGAACACAAAGUCAGCAUCUUGAUGUCAGGCAGUGUCCUGGCCAACACCCACUACCCACUGCAGUUGGUGCUUUCUCAGAAGACAACACCUUGCUUUCAAAACUGUCUACUUUUUUGCUCAAAACAAUGAUGGAUGGAUGGAUAGGUCUUCAUUUGACUCACUACCUGAAAAAUCAGCUUCUCAUGUGAUUUCCCCAAAGCAGAAUUAACUCACAUAAUUUUGUGUCACAUACCAGGGCUCUUCCUUGCAUAAAAAACAGUAAGAUAUCACCAAACUCUGGCCUGAAAGUUCUUCUAGGAUAUCUUGUGGUAUCACCAUUCCUAGGUGCAUGGUAGUCAUAAGUGACUUCAUCAGCCAAAUAUGAAACUGGUUCGAUACUGCCCCUGUAGGAGUCAAAUUCUUAUGCAUUUACAACUUAAUAAAUUACCAUUCAGGGUUGUAUUAGCAAGUUUGCUUUGUUCCAGCCCUUUUAUAGUUGAGACUCCCAGAUUUCUGUUUCAGGUUGGAAUUGGCAAAUGAACUUUUCAAAGCAUUUCAUCCUCACAAGUCACAUCUUGUCAUCUUUCAUAUCCACAUGAGACACCAAGCCCUAUUUCACUCUUGUUUAAAUUUUAUUAUCAUUGUUAUUAGGAAUAAACCAAUAGAAAUAGGAUUACAAAGGGAAAGGUUCAGGAUGAAUAACUUCUUCCUUAUAAAUUCAAACACAGGUGCACACACACAUGCUGGUCUGUGUGAGUUACUUCCUCCCCACAUUCUGUCCUCCUGCACAAACAGUUAUACAAAACAGUCCGCACAACAAUGUGAGCAGCUGGUACCACAACCUGAGCAAAGGACCCCAGUUGUGUCAAGUCUCAGGCUGACUCUUGGUCGAGAUGACCAGCUUCUCCACGCUAAGAGUACUUGUGGUUUCAUCCUCUUCAUUUGACCCAAAAUAUCCCGGGAGGUCCAGCAUCCUCUGCUCGGCUUCAGUGAGGCCGAAUGAUGUAUUGUCGUAGAAGGCGAACUCGGGGUGCGCGGGAAGCUCUGGCACUUGUCUUUCCGACAUUGAGAAGGGCUCAGAGGACUGACCCUCUGGUAGCUAUCUUUGGGGGCAGUGGGGAGGGCUGCUUCCUUGAGACACUCCUGUGACUGGGGGACGGUCCCCGCCGAGCUCUGUGAGGCUCUGUUCUCUCGCCUCCUGCCACCAAUCCCGCCUGACGAUCCCCUAGGUCUGGCUUCCUGGUGGGCUGCCCCAAGGUGUAGGAUUUAGGGAGGGGGCUUAGUGGACCAGCGGUUCCACCUGCCCCUUGGAAAUGGUCCAGUUUCUCAGGAAGCGCGGCAGCACCCCGACUCUGAGGCCUGAACCUGUCUUCUGCCUGGUCCCAGGUCCGCGUCCUAGAACUGUAGGCGGGGCCUGCCGUGGGGUCAGGGUGACAUGCUCCUCUCCCUGAAGGGCCGCGCCUGCUUGGUCUCGUGGAAACUGGCUGUCCUCCGGAAGUGGGAACUCCUGGGGUGGCUCCGCUCCGACAGCCCCCCUCUGCUGCCCACGUGCCUCAUCUGGGAUUUGCGGAUCACGGUCUGGCUGGGGCUCACGGCACAAGUGGCCUGCGAGACCCCGACAUCCAGCCUGGAGGGAGGCCUCUCCCCGGCGCUGACCGCGGGCUGGUCCAGAAACGGGGAUUUGAUCCUGAACUUGUUUGCGGCAGCUUCUUCCGGGUUCUCCAAGUCUAAGAGGGCGACGGCGGCGGCGGCGGCGUCGAUGGCCGUGUCUGUCAGGGGGCUCUGAGACACGUGGUACACCUUGGUGGUUUCUGUCAGGCCUUUCUUUUUCAUCUCCUUCAGCUGCUGCUGGGCAAGGCGGUAGCUGAACAGCGGUGGGAUUAUCUUCUGCGCGUUGGACUGGAAGCUGUCACUGCCGGAAGCGUCGUCCUCGGGAGUGGCCGGCACGCUGCGCCUGUAGGUCAGAGGGAUGCCCAUGUCCCCCGGGCCCCCCACAGGCCCGUCACCCCCAUCCGAGAAGCUCCCGCGCUGCUGGCUCAGCUCGCAGAUGUUCUCCUCAUCUGAGUUCUUCCGGAAGCUGGGCGAGUGGAGGGAGUUGUGCCGAGCGGGGUGCUGCACUUGGGGGGCGGCCGAACUUCCUCCACAGCGUGAUGAGGACGGUGGCCACGAUGAUGAACAAGCACAGCGAAAUCCCAGUGACCGUCACGAUGUUGUUGGACUUCACCGGGCCCUGCGGCUGAAGAGGAGACGGGCUGGAUGGCCGGAAAGCUACAAAAAAGGAGCUGAAGGAGAAGAGGAAGACACCUGGGUUUCUGGUUUGAACAAUGAGAUGGGUGGUGGAGUCCAGCACUGAGGAGCAAGAUUAGGGGGUAAGAUGAUGAAUCCAAUUCCAGGUACAUUGCUUUUGAGGUGCCUGGGAGCCAUCUUAGGGGUGACAGCUAUUCAGCAGCUCUUGGAUGCAGGGGAGAGGCGCCAAUCUGGAGUCGUCGGCCAGGACAGUAAUCACUUAGGAAGUGUGUGAGGAGUAAAACAAUGCAGAAGUCCAACACUGAAGGGAUGAGAGGAGCCAGUCGAAUGGUCGCUUCCCCAGGGCGUCUGGGGCUUCCUUGAAGACGGCGACCACUCCUUGAACAAGAUGCAUGUGGGGCAGCACCAUCACCUCCACCCCAGACUCACAUGUGAGUUCCGGCACCAUCACUAGUUUGUAUCCAAAUUUCUGGGCCAGGUCAAUGGGUCCUGUGGAGGUAAUGACCGAGUCUCGGCCAAGCAGCUUCAGCACCACAGUGACAUAGGCUUCAGGCCCCACAGGUGCACAGCCAAACUCAACCCAUUGGCCUUGAGAGAGUUCUGUCCUCUUGCUAGUUCUUAUCUCCAGUGGCUGUCCCUGACUCUUUCUUGCCUCGGGAAGACUGUUGGUGAAGAUGACAUCCACCAAGAUGUUGGGCUUGUCCACAGGGAACGGGCACAGUGGCUGAUUGGUAAAAAGGCCCACCUGGAAGGUACCUUCUGCUGCCUUGGAUGUCCUAUUUAAGUCAACGUGAAAGACAGGCCAUUCCACCUUGGGAAAGGCACUUUUCUCCCACGAGGGGACGGGAGUGCUGUUGUCUGCUGCUUCCGGAGUCAUCGUGAACCAGUAGUUGCCAGCCUCUUUGAAGUAGAAGCACUCAAACUCGAGCGUCCCCUGGGACUGGUUGGUCAGAAGGUACUUGGUGGUAACAGUCUGGUUGGUGUCAGCCUCCAACGACAGGACAGAUACAUUCCUCAGCGUCCCAUUAGCACCAUCGAAAUAAUGGAAAUCCACAGACACCGUGUGGUUGCUUAGCGCUACAUGGCCUGGCUCUCCCAAGAGGAGGUAUUCAGCUUCUCCAAGAACUGAAAUGAAAUGGUCAGAAAGGGCUUUAAAAAGGUGUUUUGAGCAGGACUAUUGGUGCCAUUGAAGAAAACAGCAUUUUAGACACAAGAGAAGUCUGAACUGAGCCAAGGAUGAUGUAAAAUGAUGCCGAGUGCUUAUCCUGGGAGCUGGGCACUGUGCUGCUCCCAUUCUAAAGGGGCUUGUUCCUACAUUUCAUCUUUCAUGGUUAUGUUUAAAGUAACUAAUCAGCGAUAAAUACUCUGAACUCACAACAUUGAAUAAUGUAAUAUAUUUGCAAUGAAAAUCUACAGUGCAAGAGUAACAACUCUCAACAUAAAAAUCCAACACCUCACUUUUCUCACUGUAAUCAAAUUCUGGUGUUUAAGUAUUUGGGGAAAAUGGAUUUACAGUGAAGUGAAAGAAAGCUUGGUUUAAAUUAUAUAAUAUAAACUGCUCUAGACUAUUUAAAAUGUAAGAUCCUAAAUAUACUUCAAAGUUAUUAUUUUCUGAUAUUCAAGACAAGUACUUGGGCAUUUUCACCAGUAAAGGAACCAGUGCCCUUGGUUUGUAUGAGGCAGAAGUGUUUAAAGGAAUAAGAAAUGUUGACACUAUUCUCCAAGGAUCAUCCAAGGGGUGGAUAACAUUAUCCACAGCCAUUUAUGAAGUAGCCUGGCUUGUCCUUGGCAAUUUUAAUGACAUUACAGUAAGUGCUAUUGGCCUAGAGAGGAGAGAUGACUGCUAGCCCACAAGUAUCACUCAGUUAGGAUCAAUCACACCUUUUUAAAAAAGACCUAUCUGAGCAGCUGAAGUAGAGGGUGGAAAAAACAAACACACAAGAAUCCUUGUUUGUAUUUUGAAUCCUAUCCAAAUACAUAUCAAAGGAGACAGAAUCUGGCAAAGCAAUAAUCAGCUGGCCCAUGGCUGCGGUAAGAAAUAAUUCUAGACUUAAGGGGCUGCAGUAUCCUUUUGGUGGAAAAACAACAUAUGUAUGAAUUUAUUAGUCUUAAUAUGUAUACAUAAUAUAAUACAAUAUAUUAUAUUAACAUAAUAAUAAUAACAUACACAUCCUAUAUGUCCAAAAGACUCAAUGUGUUCAAUGUGUUGUUUGGGUUGGUAGUCUUUAAAUAUACCUUACAUGUAUUCAAUCAAUGAUUGUUAGAAUCAGCACAUGAAUAUAUGGGCACAUAAAGGUUUGGGUUUGUUUUUUUUAAUUAGUUCAGCAUUUUACCCAUUUCUUAUUUAAGAUGAGGUGAAAUAAAAUACAUAAAACUUGGACAGACCUGAAUGCUUGAUCACCACUUGCUUGGAAACCGUAAUACGAUAAAGCUCUUUUUUUUCACUUACUCAGUACAGAAGUUGAGGGAUACUCCCCUUUGGAUGGAGAUGACUCAAGUUUGAGGAAGGAAGCUGAUUUUGGAGCAGCUUGGAUACUGGUUCAGAGCCCACCUGGUAGCUUUUUGGGAAUGGGUGGCUAAAGAGACUGCAGUGCUCACCACAGCCCAAGGAAGGAGCUAAGACUGAGAACACAGGUCAGAUUAAUUUGAAUCUGAUGGGGCAGGAUGGUUCUGAGAUGCAUUUUAAGAUCGAGAGGCAUACACCCCUUAGUUAACUAAUGAAAGCCUACUGUCAAGGACAGAGAUUGGCAAUGAGGCAGAUCAGAUUUUGAUUUGAUGGGCAGCCAGCUAAAGAAAGAGACACACGUGCUCACUUGGAAAUGGAGAAAAAAGAUACAGUUGAUGGGUACCAGCAGUGGCAAAGAGAGAACUUGCUACUUUACUCUAAAACCUUUGUUUUUACAAAGAAGAAUACAUUCUCAUUUGGAAAACUACAGUUUGGUUGUAUCAUAUCCUGACUACUACAGUACAGUCUUGACUCUCUUAACAAUGGGGAUAUGUUCUGAGAAAUGUGUUAGGCGAUUUCAUCAUUGUGUGAACAUCAUAGAGUGUACUUACACAAACCUAGAUGGCAUGGCUUACCACACACUAGGCUAUAUAGUACUAACAUUACAGGAACGCUGUCGUAUAUGUGGUCCAUUGUUGACUGAAACCUCGUUAUGGAUUGCAUGAUUGUAGAGUGUUCUCUAUUCUCUCAUUUCUUCUCUCUCCAUUCCUUUAUUGUAUUUAAAGUAACUCAUGUCUCAAUAUAAGCAUGUUUUUUUUUUUAAAAAAAAACUAACUGGUAGCGACAUAUUUAAUCAACAUCAAGUGAUAUUGAUAGAGAAGAAGGGAAAAAAUCCAGCUCUAUGAAAAUAUCUCCUUUUCCCUCAGUAGCUUGUGCACUCAACUUCUAUGUUCUGCUCUAUUUUACGCUCAUUCAACUUUUAGUUUUACAUUCCAGUAAGAUAUUUUGAUCUCAACAAUGACAAACAUCCUAGCAGAUUUUAUUUAAAUAGAAGACUUUGAUGUCUUUAUUUACCAUUUCAAAACCAAGAACACUUUUAUAAUUUUUUGUAUGAGGCUGUUACACAUAGAACAAUCUGUUUUUAAGUAGGGAUCAACGAUUCUAAAAGAAAUGAAUCCCAGAUUGGUUUUCAGUAAAUCAAGCAUCUUCUUGUUUAACUAAACUUCUUAAGAAGAAAAGACUAGGGAAGGAGAUUCCCCGGACACAAUGAACAAUAUACACUCUGGUCUAAUGAAGUGGAUAUGCCACUGAUGUGACACGAGCCAGGAUGCUCUGUCUCUUGAAUCAUAAUUUCUUCAUCAAUUUGAAAACAAUUUCCACUCUCAUACCAUCAACUGCUUAGACGAACUGCUAUGAACUAUUUGGAAAUCAUCAAAAGAAGAGAGUAUUACAUUGUUGAAUCUAUCGGUUCAGUAGUUGCAGACAACUGAGAAUUGAGCUCUAUUUUUUGAGGCAAAAAUGCAGUCCCUUAAGAGAACCCAGGGUUGCAAGGAUCACAGUCUAAAAGGUGCCGCACUGGAGACCCUGCCUGCUUCACGCAGGGUCGACAUCAAUGCAUUUCUAAACCUCACGCUGAUGCUUCUUUGUUGACACCUAUAGCAUUAAGUAUGCUCACAAUACUCACCGCAGUCGCAGAGCACCACCAACAAGAGAUUUGAAAAGUCUUUCAACAUUUGUUUCAUUCUGAUCAGCAAAAUCCCAGGUCUUUGGUCUCCUCAUGUCCUUUCUCGCAUCCAAAUUGUGAAUUCUUUUUUCAAAAACACCUGAAACCAGAACCUCAAAAAACACAUGGCUCUGUUAAAUGUGAUUCAUAAAAUAGUAAUCAUGAAAUGACAAAACCAUUCUAAGAAGUCAAAUUUCCUAGUUGAUACUGAAAACAAAAUAAGGAGGACACUAAUUUUUCCCAGGUAAAUGAUCUGUAAUUCUGCAUGUCCCUUUUGUUCCGUGAUAGCUCACCUGUUAAGAACAUUCAGGUAUGCCCAACACCAAGAUUGUCUUUGCGAAACAGAAAGUCUUUCUCUUUAUAGCACAUCCUUACAUGGAGAGUUUGCUAUUAUUUGCUUAAUUUCAUCAAAGCCAAUAGCCAAUCUAAAUGAUACAUCUGCUAGUCAUUUCACAAUGAUUAAUAUACUAAAUUUUUGCCAAAGUUUCAUUGCACUGUGUAGACCUGCCUUGCUUCCACAAAUGGGCUUACCAACACUGUCUCUCUUACACAAUUGGUGUGUUAGUAGGAUUGCUUCAUUUCUUAAUGCCUAGGAGCUCCAUCAAAACUAUCAGACCUUUAGAAAAGAUACCCAGGGUAUUACAAUUAAAUGAGAACUCCCUGUGACCCUGAGUCCCUUGUUUAGGGCACUGUAAAGAGAAAACACAAAUAACAAUUAUCAUCUUCUGUCAGUCUUCCAAUACUUGCCGCUGCUGGUAUCCGUCAGGAGACAGACGAUUUCAUGCGGCAAUCUUCCCAAAGCACCUAGGAGGGCAGGAAAGACCCUGCUGGCCUGUGGUUCAAAUGACUUGUGGAAGGAGGCACUUUGAUAUAAACAGACUAUUAGGUGAUAGAAUAAGAUGUAGGGCAUUUAAGUGCCACUUUUUCAUACCAAAGUCUAGUAAACUAUGGGCUACUAAACAUAACCAAAUGUAUAUUUUCUUAAUGUUUACAUUCCCAUUAUGCACAGCUAAUAUAUUUUUACUAAGCAUAUUAUAUUCCAAUAUAUGUAUGUUACAUCCCUUUAGAUAAGACAGAAAUUAAUGGAAUGUAAAGAAUUGAUGGAAAUAAUAAAAAUUCAAUGGAAAGAGAACUGGUGUGUCUCCACGAGCUUUUUUUUUCCUUUUGAGGAAGAUUAGCCCUGAGCUAACAUCAGCUGCCACCAUCUUCCUCUAUUUUAUAUGUGGGACGCCUGCCACAGCAUGGCUUAGCAAGUGCUGCGUAGGUCCACACCUGGGCUCUGGGCCCUCGAACCCCAGGCCGCUGAAGCAGAAUGUGGGAAUUUAACCGUUGCGCCACAGGGCUGGCCCAGGAGGUUCCUUUCAGUAGAAAUUAGCUGAACAAAGGAAAUACUGGACUUCCUCAAAGGGAAGCAGAGAUUUGAAGUGUAAUUAUGCAGAUGAUUAGAGCUCCCUCCCCUCCCUAACAAAAAAAGGGAAAUUCAGUUUUGCUGGAAUUAAGCAUAGAUUGGACCUAAUCUUUCCCUUGAGCGGGGAUGGGAAACUUGGCCAAAGACAGCAGGUGAGCAUCAUUGGAUCUCCUGGGCAAGUGUGGGUGCUGAGGGCACUUUAAAACUUCCUUUAAGUCACUGAUCCUCAGUAACCAAAGAAAGGAGGAGCAAGGCUGGCCCUGUGGCUGAGGGUUAAGUUUUCGAGCUCUGCUUCAGCGGCCCAGGGUUUCUCUGGUUCGGAUCCUGGGGCAGGACAUGGCACCACUGUCAGGCCAUGCUGAGGCGGCGUCCCACAUGCCACAACUAGAAGGACCCACAACUAAAUAUACAACCAUGUACUGGGGAGACUUGGGGAGAAAAAGCAGAAAAAAAAAAGAUAAAAAAAAAAAGAAAGGAGGAGCAAGUGAUCUGUAGCUCCCAAAAGUUGAACUUGCUUCUCCCAAACUGCUUGCUUCCCCUGACAAUCAUUUCUUAAAGAAGCUCCUAAUCACAACUGAUUUUGCAAUUAUAACACAUUUUCCUUCUUUGAAAAUGACCAGUAAAACACAGAAUUGUGUGAUAAUCUACAUUUAGAGCUGAAUGGAAAUGGAAUUAUAAAAUACACCAGCCUACCUGAAAAUCAUAAUAAGGAUGUUUUUAAAAAUGUUCUCACUUUUGAAAAUAAAUGCUCAAUUUUUACCAGCUCAACCAUUAAUUUGAAGAUAUUAACAGAACACCCCAGAAUGGAAUGGAAGGCUGGAUAAAAAGCACUACACUUUUUAAAGAAGAUAGCAUGCUUCUUUAAUUUUCCUUUUUUUACACCUUGCUUGCUUUUCUUCCAACGUGUUCCCAAUACACUACUGGCUACUUAUGUUUGGCUUGAGAAUCAUUUUGAGAAAAGAAGAACUUAGGUGUAUUUCAUACACAUUUUAAGAUACUUCUAUAUAGCAUUCACAUACAAAAACGUUUACAGACAAAUUUUAAAUGUAUCUGUUGUGAAUAUUCUCAAUGGCUAACAGCAUCAUGCCAAGCUCAGAUCCCAUGUUUUUGCUGAAACCAGCUAAGAGAAACCCCUACAGGGUCUUCAUAGCUGCCGAAAAAGAAAAUAAAUUACGCUAAAGUCCAUGGGACCAAUGACUUACCAAACAAAAGGGAAAAUAAAAAUAAGCAAAGUGAUUUUUGACCCUUCUGACAAACACGCACACGCUCGUGUGUGUAUAUAUCUAAUAAUAAUAUUUAUUAGGAGGAAAUCCCUAAUUCCAAAGCAGCUCGUGUAAACAGGCUUUAUUUAUAUAUUCGAUCGGCUCUACCCUGGUCCCCCAGGCUGGACGCAGCUUCCCUAGAAGGUGGGCGCUCCCCACCUCCACUCAGCUUUCCAAAGGCCCGCAAGUCAAGUUCAUACUUGGAAAUCCAGCCCUGCCCGCGUCGCCAGCACAAAGCCCUCUUAAAAUAAGGACUGUUCUGAAAUGCUUAUAUCUCAGAGAGGAUUUCUUUUUAGAAAGACCCAAACUUGUUCUGAAACGCUUAGCAUCCCAACUGGGACUCAACACCCCGCUACCGUCAGCCUCAGCCCCUCGGCCACACCUGCGCCAGGGGAGAGCCGCGCUCGCGUUGAAGCCAGGACUCCGAGAGGCGGAGAGGCACACUUUUCCAAGCGCGUUCCUCAGCGGCAGAGGCUGAGCACUAAGAAGCGAAGGCAGGGGACCGGGAGCGUCCAGGGAACGGGAGUGUCCACCUGUGAUUUCAGGCUGCGGGGAGGGAAGGGGCGGCCGGAUCCGGGCGCACUGCCGGGCCCCGGCGGAGCCACCGGGAGCCCUCGCGGCUCAGCAGCGCCCGCCGGGUCGCGGAAGGCUCUUCUUACCUCUCGGGACUGGUGGGCGCAGCAGCCCGGGCCGGGGCGAGCGAGGCGACGAGAAGGGUGGCAGGAAGGAGGCCUCAGGGGCCGCGAGGCAGGGCGUCGAGCAUCCCGCGUCCCAGGACUGCGCGCCCUGGACAGCAGCGCCGGGUUCCCGCAGCCCCGCCCGGGCCCGCCCCGAAGGCGCGAGGAGGGCGGCACCCGGAGGGCCGCACCCGGAGGGCGGGGGACCUUGGCGAGCUGCCACGUCUGCCCCCGCCCUCUCUGGGCUGCGCAUCCUUUCCUGCCCGCGCCGGGCGAGCGCGCUGCUGGACGGAAACCCGGCAGGAAACGCUCCUGGCUGGCCAGGGCCUGCGGGAAGCGGGUGCGGAGCCCCGAGCGCGCACACACCCGCACCUCAGGCUGGACCUGAAUUUUAAGGACGAGCCAGCAGUCUCCCACCAGUUCAAAUUCAGUCACUUCCCCAGCGUCAUUUUCUUAAUGGGGUAACACAAAAGUCAGUCGUUGAAGUGCAUAACUGGUGGGUUUGUAAACUUGGUUUCCCAAAUGUCAUCGAAGAGUUUCAAAAGGAAGCAAUUCAGGUAAAGUGCAUCUUCGUUUUCUUAGCAGCCAGAAAUGGUUGUUCAAUAAAUCAAAAAGAACAUUUAAAAACUCUAAUCCGCAAGUGUUAAAGUUGUCUUCUUAAAAGAACACAAGAGGAUGGAGUUCACCUUAAGAGCUGUCAUUUUCGAGUCCACUGUGAAGUGCAAUACCUUCACCAUUUGCUUUUCUUUUACACAAAAUAACCACUUGACAGACAAAACUAACGUGUGGUAGUAGAAAUCAGAGCACGGUGGUGGCCUCUGGGGAGCAGGUGAUGGGAAAGAGGCACCAAGGACCUCUUGGGAAGACAGAUAUCUUCUAUUGUUUGGUGUGCGAUUUACAUGGAUUUUUUAUGCAUUUGUCAAAACUCAUCCAACUUAAGAUCUGUGCAUUUCACUGUGUAAAUUUUACCUCCAUUUUUUUAGUUUUAAAGAUUUUUAUUUUUCCUUUUUCUCCCCAAAGCCCCCAGUACAUAGUUGUGUAUUUUUAGUUGUGGUCCUUCUAGUUGUGGCAUGUGGGACGCUGCCUCAGCGUGGCUUGAUGAGCGGUGCCAUGUCCGUGCCCAGGAUUCAAACUGGCGAAACCCUGGGCCACCGAAGCAGAGUGCACGAACUUAACCACUCUGCCACGGGGCCAGCCCCUACCUCAAUUUUUAAAACAAAAAAAUACAGCAUUUGCAGGUCUUUGAAUCUAACUUAAUCUUUUAAAAGAUAGCACAAUUAUUCAAUUAUCAGUUUACCAGAGGUACUAAACUUGCUAAGUAUUUAUCUUGUCAAAUAACUAAUUCUAGCAGUAUGCAUUUAAUCUACCCAAAGUUUCAAAAGAGGCUUUAAAGUCAUUAUCCACUUUCACUACCAACAGAACUAUCUAGUCCAAUAUCCAUUCAUCAGCUCAAAUUGGGAUUCCUUUUCAAAUGCCACAGUCCCUGGCAUUUUCAGUUUUAAAAGCAAAAGCUCAAUGCAAAGAGUGGGCUUUGGAGUUAGAUACAGCUGAGAUUAAUUCCAGCCCUGCCUCUGUAACCUUGGGCAAAUUACUUAAUCCCUCCUUUCCUUCACUAUAAAAGGCAUAUAAUAAUGGUUAUAUUGAAGUUUUCUGGUGACUGGGUGAAACAGUCAGAAAGCAACUUGCUCUGCGUUAAUCUUUCAAAGACACUCUCUCCCCAGGACCUCAAUCCAGGUACAAGUGGCUGGUUAACGUGCUUGGUCAUUUCUUAAAUAACAGCUUUGGUCAUUGUUGCCUUCAUUAGAAUUCUCACCAAACUGUAUUACUGUCUUUAUUGGACAGUUAAAACAGUUUAAUCUUUUCUAAAAGAAGGCACAUAGACUUGAAGGGAAAAAAAGCUUUCAAAAGGACAGCGGUAUGUUCUUGUCAGUAUUGAACUAAAGCUGGCUGUCUAGAUAUCCUGAAUUCUCUUUAUGGGUCAGUGACUGGUCUAAUGAUCUUGUGCAAAUUGUGUGAAAAUUGUUCACUAUCUCAAUAACAUCCUUUAUACAAAUGGAGAGAUCUUGUAUUUCCCUAGAUAAUACCCUGAGAGAAAAGCUUUAACUGACUCCUGAUUAUCAGGGCACAAGGAAGGACACGAAUUACCCAGUUUUCACACUGUAAUAACAAGAUCUUACAUGUGUGUUAACCUGACUUUUCUGGAGUGCUUCCCACAUCAUGGAUGUGGCCUGUGUCAUGGAAUUUGAAUAAGAUAGUGUAUCUCAGACAGGCUGAGCCCUGACAAGUCUGGUUGAGAAGCCCCUUGGGAAGAAGGGUAAAGGACUGAUUUAGGUUUGUGAGUCAACUCUGGCACAUAUAAUCCAAAAUCGCUCCAUUCAGUUAGUACUUAACCAGGAUCUACCUUGUACAAUCACUGACUUAGGAGUGGGAAUUCAAAAGUUGUGUCAUAUGAAAGUCCUUGAACUCAAAGAAAUCCAAUUUCUCUAUUUUAUUACGGCAUCAAGACAACAAAUAGAGAGCAAGAUAAAACACAGUCAAGUAUAUGAGACGGACAGUAACUCUUAGGGAGUUUAGAAAUAGAGCUGUGUACUGGAAACAGAUUUUUCUAGAGCAGGUGGGAUUGAGCAAAGCAUGAUUUUGAUUAGUGGGGGUAGGGGUGUGAGUGGGAAGAAGGAACGAUGGGAAGUCUGGACAGACAAGGGGAAGCGUCCCAGCAACAGGAAGAGGCACACCUCACGCUGUUCCCGUGACCCAAUGCCUGCCACCUACUGACCAUCUCUUGGUCCUCGUAGUCUAGUUUACCAAGCUCUUCCCUCCCACGGGCCUUCCCAGGUCCCUCCCUCAAAACGAAAAGCUCCUUCCUUGUCUUCCACAGCGUGGUACCUGUGCCCUUUCAUGGCAUGGACUUCCUUCCAUCUUCAAUUAAGGUUGCUCACAUGUCUCUUUGCCCAACGGGCACCCUCUUAAGGGCAGGGGCUGUAUCUUAUUCACUUUUGUAUCCCCACCAAUGGCCCACAAAGCUCCUCACACAAAUUCAGUAUGUAUUAAAAAAAAUGUGUUUUAAUUGAAGUGAAUGGGAGAUAAAAAGUAGGAUAAAGUGGAGCCAAAUUAUAAAUAGAUAUAUACACCGGAGUUAAUUAAUUCAAUAACUAUUUAUUGAGUCAUACUGUGUGCCAGGCCCUGUUCUGGCCUCUGGGGAUCUAUCCAUGAACAAACCAGGAAACAUCUCUGCCCUGUGAGCUUACACUCUAGAAAAUGGAGGAUCGCAAUAAAUUUACAUAAAUUCAACCAUACUAUUCAGGAAAAAAAAGGAUCCAUAUUUAAAUAGUUUAUUGGUGCUGUAAAAGUCUACUGUUGAUAUGUAGUUUGUAUUAUAUAUUGUACUUACUAUAUUCAUAAACUAUUCAUCCUCAUGUAUCACACUACAGGGAAUCUAAUAUAGAGAACUUUAUUGGCAGUUUAAGAGAUUCUCAAGGAUCAUUUUGAGCAUGCUCGAUUUCAUCCUUAGGCAGUCUUUAGCACAGUCUUUGAAACCUAACCACCUUAUAAGUUGUGACUCUACUGAAACAAAAUGAAAACUCUGAGAUUGUUGGGCAAAGAAGAACCAGUUUAAGUAUUUGAGCAUGAGAAUGCUGACAAUCACGUCUGGUCAGAUUUGUCUGGUAACAGGGAAUGAGAGACAGUACAUUCACAUAACACACAGGUCAAUCAACAGUGGAAUUCACAUCAGGAAUUAGAAGAAAACAGUUCAUGAGCCAUUUCCCAUUCUUUUAAAACUAAAAUAGUAAGAGCUUGAGGUCAUAAAUAUUUAUAAUCAACUCUUGAUUAUAAAAUCUAAACAAAAAAUUGUAACAUACUGGCUUAUUCUAACUAAAGGUUUAUCAUUUUCAUAUAUUUUUCAAAAAGUAUUUAAAAAGAACACCAAGAAACAUCGUUUUUAAAUUUUGCAAAAACUUUACUCUAUAUACAUUAAUUCCAAUCAUUUAAUCCUGAAAGCAAUCUUCACUUGUACAAUGUAAAAAAACUUUUGACAGUAUGUGACUAGAAAUAUCCCAUUACCAUAAAGCUACAAACAGAUUUAUGCUCCUAAGAGCAAAGUUAGGAAAGCAAAAAUAAUAACCACACCAGUGAUAAGCGGCAAGACAGAACUUUUUUGCACUUAGGGCCUGAUUGGCUCUAUUUAAACAAAACCUCUACCAACAGAGGACCAAAAUAACACCUUAUUUGGCAAAAAAAAAAAGAUAAAAAUAUACAUACAGAGGUCUGGAAACAGUGGAGAAUGCCCACUUAAAAAAUUAAACAAUGAAAUUAUUCAUAUUUGUUUUUUAGUUAAUGUGACUUUGCAAAAUAUAUUCAUAUGUCACUUUUCUUCUUUAGUUCGCCUUAUACAAUUCAGGUUGCGCCAUGUUUGUUAAUGUUAUCACACUACUGUAAAUCAAUAUGGUGAACAAUGGGAGUUUGCUGUAAUGAAUCCGAACCAUGAGAGCUAGAUCCAGGAGCCCAAACAACCUUAGUUGCAACUCAUUCCAAGCGGUGAAACAGAUUAUUUAUCUUUGUAAUUUUUACAAGCCGUAGCCAGAUAUCAUGUGUGUAUGUGUGCGUGCAUGUGCACGUGCAAGUAUGCCAGAGCAGUGAGAGAGAGUACAACUCAGAAGGGAGUGACAUAAACAGGCUUACACAAGGACCCAAAAGAUUUGGGCAGCCGACACUGAAUUUCCCCAAAACAAACCUGAAGCUGAGCAAUGGGGGGAAUUCGGGGAUCUGUCAUCACAAUAUAGAAUCAGUGACAGAUUUGGAGAACAAAGACUAAGUAAGGCAGGAUGCCUCAGCCACAACAUUCCCAUGACACUGGAGGACACAAAGCAGUGACAGCCACUCUUCAGGCAGGGAUCAGGGACAGACUCUGCCUGCACUUGGAGGGAUUCCCUGGG
This 18404-nucleotide long non-coding RNA is filed under the name Equus caballus (horse). RNAcentral describes it as "lncRNA (ENSECAG00000044826.1)". The stretch from base 9527 to 9613 matches the Rfam family "mir-684 microRNA precursor family". Lineage: Eukaryota; Metazoa; Chordata; Mammalia; Perissodactyla; Equidae. The record is from RNAcentral.